RNAcentral lists this ribosomal RNA (589 nucleotides) under uncultured bacterium. Its description in RNAcentral is "bacterial SSU rRNA". It matches the Rfam family "Bacterial small subunit ribosomal RNA", at positions 338 to 916 of the family's 1533-position model. The record is from RNAcentral.
CCUACGGGAGGCAGCAGUGGGGAAUAUUGGACAAUGGGCGAAAGCCUGAUCCAGCAAUGCCGCGUGUGUGAAGAAGGCCCUCGUUGGUUGUAAAGCACUUUCAGUGGGGAAGAAGAGCCGGCGGCCAAUACCUGCCGGCCCUGACGUUACCCACAGAAGAAGCACCGGCUAACUCUGUACCAGCAGCCGCGGUAAUACAGAGGGUGCGAGCGUUAAUCGGAAUUACUGGGCGUAAAGGGCGCGUAGGCGGUCCGGUAAGUUGGGUGUGAAAGCCUCGGGCUUAACCUGGGAAUUGCAUUCAAUACUGCCGGGCUGGAGUAUGGUAGAGGGAAGUGGAAUUCCGGGUGUAGCGGUGAAAUGCGUAGAUAUCCGGAGGAACACCAGUGGCGAAGGCGGCUUCCUGGACCAAUACUGACGCUGAGGCGCGAAAGCGUGGGGAGCAAACAGGAUUAGAUACCCUGGUAGUCCACGCCCUAAACGAUGAGAACUAGCCGUUGGGGACAUUCAAGUCCUUGGUGGCGCAGCUAACGCGAUAAGUUCUCCGCCUGGGGAGUACGACCGCAAGGUUAAAACUCAAAGGAAUUGACGG